RNAcentral lists this ribosomal RNA (683 nucleotides) under uncultured bacterium. Its description in RNAcentral is "bacterial SSU rRNA". It matches the Rfam family "Bacterial small subunit ribosomal RNA", at positions 126 to 807 of the family's 1533-position model. The record is from RNAcentral.
CUGCCCCUGUCAGGGGGACAACCCGCCGAAAGGCGGGCUAAACCCGCGUACAUGCCACCGGGGCAUCCCGGAGGCAGGAAAGGCUUCGGCCGGACAGGGAUGGGCAUGCGGCGCAUUAGGCAGUAGGCGGGGUAACGGCCCACCUAACCGACGAUGCGUAGGGGUUCUGAGAGGAAGGUCCCCCACACUGGUACUGGGACACGGACCAGACUCCUACGGGAGGCAGCAGUGAGGAAUAUUGGUCAAUGGUCGGGAGACUGAACCAGCCAAGCCGCGUGAGGGAUGAAGGUACAGAGUAUCGUAAACCUCUUUUGUCAGGGAACAAAGGCGGGGACGUGUCCCCGGAUGAGUGUACCUGAAGAAAAAGCAUCGGCUAACUCCGUGCCAGCAGCCGCGGUAAUACGGAGGAUGCGAGCGUUAUCCGGAUUUAUUGGGUUUAAAGGGUGCGCAGGCGGUCCGUUAAGUCAGCGGUCAAAGCCCGGGGCUCAACCCCGGCCCGCCGUUGAAACUGGCAGUCUCGAGUUGGAGAGAAGUAUGCGGAAUGCGCGGUGUAGCGGUGAAAUGCAUAGAUAUCGCGCAGAACUCCGAUUGCGAAGGCAGCAUGCCGGCUCCACACUGACGCUGAGGCACGAAAGCGUGGGUAUCGAACAGGAUUAGAUACCCUGGUAGUCCACGCAGUAAAC